UGGAGAGCCAGCGAGGCGAGCGACCAGCACGCCGUCGUGUCUCCAUCCCUCCCUCCCCCGCUCUCCCAUUACUCCUCAUCUCGGCGCCGAGGCGAGCGAGCGAGGCAUCUCGUGGCGUGACGAUGCUCCCGAGGUGGCUUUUCCUCGCGCUGCUGCUCGUCGCGCUCGCCGCCGGGUCGGUGGCGACGCAGGACGCGGCGGUGGAGGGCGUGGCGCCGGCGGCGGAGGAGAUCGUGGCGAACGCGAUGGCCAAGGAGGCGGCGGUGCUGGCGGCCGAGCUGGGCCAGCUCAGGGCGAAGAUCUCCGCCUUAGAGUCACGCAUUGCAGAGCAGACCCUGGAGUUGAAGACCAAGGACGAUGCAAAUGAAACACUGAAAAAGGUUAUCGAGCAGGAGUCACAAAAGAUAGCUACUCUGCAGAGUGAGAUAACUUCUGUCAAGGCAAAGGGGUCUUUAGCUGCAGAGGAGCAGGCAAGCAAGGCCAAUGUGCAGGCUAUUGAGCUUGAGAAGCAGAUCGAUAAGCUCAAGAAGGAUAUUAAAGCCCAAAAUAGCAAAAAGGCAGCUCUCGAAGCCAGGGCUGGUGAUGCAGAGAAGAAGGUGCAAGAGCUGAAUGGGAAGCUGGAGAAACUCCAGAGGACAAGCAACGAGCAAAAGCGCAGGAUCCAGAAGACUGAACUUGCUCUUAGAGCUGCUGAGGAGGAGCUGAUGAAGGUGCAGUUAGAAACAACAACAAAAUUGAAACAGCCGAGAGAGGUUCAUGGAGCAUGGUUGCCACCUUGGUUAGCGACACAUGCAGCUCACUCAAUGGAGGUGAUGGCGGACCACUGGAACGAACAUGGGAAACCUGUUGUCAACAGUUUAUUGGAAAAGGCAUCAGAAAAAUCAGCGGAGGCAAAGAAAUGGGCCAAGCCCCAUCUUGAAACUGCUAAGGCAAAAUGGACAUCUGCUGCUAAGGAAAACUGGGUUACCUUGAAGAAAAAUGGAGAACCUUAUGUGCAAAUGGUCUCAACAAAAUUAGUAGAGGUUUAUCAAGCAUCAAGGGACUUUAUCACACCCCAUCUUCUGAAUGCACGUGAAGCCGCUGAUCCCUACUUGCAGGAAGCAAAGAAGAGAUCCAAACCUUAUAUUGAUCAAGUUGCUACAGCCACUAAACCACAUGUUGAGAAAAUUGGAACUGCCCUGAAGCCUUAUACUAAACGAUCAGUUCGUGUAUAUGGAAUUUUUGUUGAGAAGGCUACUACAUAUCAUCAGCAGGCUCACGGAACUAUCUUGGAUUACCUUCACCAACAUGAAUUUACGAAACAAUUUGCGACUGAAGAGGUGGCCUGGUAUCUGGCUUCUGCUUGGCUGGUUAUGCACGUUUUGGUUUUGUACAUGCUCCUAGUUGAAACAUUCUGCUCCAAGAAGCAGAAGAGAUCCCCACGGAAUGGUAAUGCCAACCAUGGUCAUCGAAGACAUAAGCGCCGGCAUGCUGACAAGUAGACCAUAGAUAAACACUUCCAGGUUUUUCUGCGGUGUGCCACAUUGUAGUUGCAGAAGAUUGUGAAGUAUGAUCAUACCUUCCACUGAUGAGUUUGUUGGAUGGCAUACACUCUAUGGUGAUCCGGGGUCAUCUAUCGCUGAACCUUGCUGUGUAUCUACGAGUUGGACGACACACAAAAGCUGCGUUUUUACCCCCCAUGUUUGGGCAUAGUUUGUUGUGGCUUUGUUUCUGCACUCGCG
Molecule: RNA transcript, 1721 nt
Organism: Phragmites australis (common reed)
Lineage: Eukaryota; Viridiplantae; Streptophyta; Magnoliopsida; Poales; Poaceae
Exons: 15
Source: RefSeq, a predicted model, not a curated record